GUUUCUGCCCUGCAAUAUAUGACCGACACAUUACUUGGCAACAGGAAAAUUUCUCCACUAGAAUAUCCCUUGCUUCCUCUGCAAAUUCCUCCUCGUCGUCGUCUUCGUCUUCUUCUGAUAUACAAACUAUGCUCUUGGCCAUGGAGUUUUUGCUUGAUUUCAUUUUAACUGCUGCUUUUUCUUUUCUCUGCUCUUUCUUUCUCUCUAAGCUCCUCUCCGGAGCAACACCUGAUGAUCAUGGACAUGAUUUUAAAAGGAGAAUUGUCCAUGUGCAUGACCCUGACCAUGACCUUAGUUUCCUAGCGGAGUCUAAUGAUUUCGCUUGGGAGAAGGAAAGGAAACUUGGGCUUGUUUCGGAAAUUCUCGGAGUUGAUGAAUUAAGCGAAUCAGUAGAGAAUAAACUUGCUCAACGAGAAUUUUCCUGCAAAUGUGUCGGGUCGUGUAACUCACUUGAAGAUGCAAAAACUUCUAAUAAUCAACUCCCCAAAGAAGAAAUUGAGAUUAUUGAUUAUUUAACAGAGGAAGGUAGUGAAGAUGGUGCUGCAUGCAAAUGCGAGUAUUACCCGAUUGAUAAAAGUCAAAAGAGAGAGAUCGAGAUGGAAUUGAUAAACGAGGAAUUGGGUGUGGACGAGGGUGAAGUUAAUUGUGGGAUUGGUGGUACAAAGGAGGGGUUGCUUGAUGAGGAGGAGGAUGAUGAUUGGGAAGGAGUAGAAGGAAGCGAGUUGGAGAGGCUUUUUGGUGCUGCUGUGGCGUAUGUUGGUUCUAUAGAUAAUGUUGAUAAUAUAUCGAGUCUUAGCACUGAUUUGAAGCUGAAGUUUUAUGGACUUUACCAGGUUGCAAUUGAAGGACCUUGCCAUGUGCCCCAACCCAUGCCAUUGAAGUUCUCUGCUCGCUCAAAGUGGAAUGCGUGGCAACAACUUGGGAACAUGAGCCCUGAGGUGGCUAUGGAGCAGUAUAUCAACCUCCUUUCAAGAAACUUUCCUGGAUGGAUGAAAGAUGAUUUUGGGGAAGAUGGUAAGCAGGGAUUUGCAGAUAAUGAAGCAACAAGGAACCUAGCUUCUGAUUUAAGGCCAUCUCAAGGACAUCAAAAAGGGGUUCUAGUUGAGAGGUAAUCUCUAAAUGAGUUAUCUAACAAUGACUUUAGUCUGUUGUUCAUUACAAAGUUUUACUUCACACCUAUAAUGUGGAAAAAUAGGAAAACGAAAAAAGGCUUGUGGCAUCUUAUCAUUGGCUCGGAUGAAGGUUUAAAUAACUAAGUGAUCGUGUUUGUGCCUAGUGCCAAAUGUUAUAAUCACCCAGGACCCUUGCAGCUUCCAACUGCUGAUGAGGAGACCAGUCAUAGCGUAAUAUUCUAUGCCAGUGAAGAAUUAACCAUGUGAAAUGUAUGAGUAAAUACAUUUCCUCCUCAUUCUUGACUCUUGUAAAUUAGUGGUUAAAGAGCAUAAGAUUUCUGGUUUAUAUUUUGUUUCCUUGGAAAAGGAAAGAAAAGGUCUCUUUGUAGAGCUGCCUGACUUAGUAAUUUUCAUUAAGUUGGGUUUGUAUUGAUGAAGCAUUAUUAUAUAUGUAAAUAUUACUUGUGGA
Molecule: RNA transcript, 1581 nt
Organism: Hevea brasiliensis (rubber tree)
Lineage: Eukaryota; Viridiplantae; Streptophyta; Magnoliopsida; Malpighiales; Euphorbiaceae
Gene name: acyl-CoA-binding domain-containing protein 3
Exons: 4
Source: RefSeq, a predicted model, not a curated record